GGCCUCGUAACUCAGUUGGCUAGAGCGUUGGCUGUAAUAAAGCCUUCCUCUUGCUGUCGUGGGUUCGAAUCCCACUGAGGCCA
Schistocephalus solidus is the source of this 83-nucleotide non-coding RNA. Lineage: Eukaryota; Metazoa; Platyhelminthes; Cestoda; Diphyllobothriidea; Diphyllobothriidae. The record is from Rfam.